This 3048-nucleotide long non-coding RNA is filed under the name Acyrthosiphon pisum (pea aphid). Its description in RNAcentral is "uncharacterized LOC115034076". Lineage: Eukaryota; Metazoa; Arthropoda; Insecta; Hemiptera; Aphididae. The record is from RNAcentral.
UAAUACAUAGUAAGUAAUAAUAUUAAUCGUUUUUAUUUUUAUUACAAGUUUAUUUUGUAAAUUUUAACUUUCCAAUGUUUGCUGUCAUUUAUUUUUUGAAAUUAUUAUUAGUCAAGCACUUCAUUGUGUACUGUCGAAACCAUAUGUCAAUUGGGAAAAGACUAGUAAUAUAUAAAAACCUUUUUGAAGCCCUUAGUCCAGUUGAAGACAUAAAAAAAAUCGUCUCAUUUCUCAACCAUAUUGAUAUGUACAACUUAAUCUAGAAAAACCAUUGAUUAAUGAGUCGUCCAUAUGUAGCAUUAAUAUUUGAUACUGUUGUAAGCUAAUAACCUAAGUUUUUGAAGCUUUACCAAGUAUAAUAAAACAAAAAAUAUUAAUUAUUAGUUAUUAGUUUUUAGUAAUUGAUAAUCGUUAGUAUUAUGGAAUAAAUGAUCUUAUAAAAACGGUAAUGUAAAAUAAAUGUCGUUCUAUAAAAUAUCUAUUUAGAAAUAAAGUGUAAAUCGAUAAUGUGCAUAAAUACAUAUUUACAUUAUAUUUUGUUUGGUUAGAUUAGUAUAACGUUCUAUGUAUUAUUUUCUACAGAAGAAACACAGGAAAUGGGAUCUUUAUGCGACUUUGUUUAUUAUUUUUUGAUUUAAUGUAAUGUUAUUUCUGUAUUAAAAACGUAAUAUUUGUAUUAUUAAUAAGAUAACGCAUCUGGUACAAAACACAUAACACUAUAAAAUAUUAUAAUAUAAGAAACUCGGAUAAAAACUUUUAUAUCAAGCUCAAAAUAGUUCUUACAUUCAGUGAAAUUUUAAUAACAGUAUAACAUAGUUGCAAUGUAUUAUAAUACACAUAAUAUUAAACCAUACUUACAUAUUUUAUAGUUAACGGUAUUUUAAGAAUAAAAAUAUUUAAUCUAUAUUUAGUACAAUAUUAAAGUAAAGUGAUUCAAGUAUGAUCCGCACCCAAUUUCGAAAUCAUAGGUUUAAUGAACCAAAAUUUUAAAUAGCUUUGGGACUGAUCAAAGACGAUGUCUAAGACUUGAGAGUAUCUUGUUUUUUUUCCUUUACUAACCUGGAAUUGUAGAGCGUGUGUGUGGAUUUUGCUCAACGUAUAUACAAGCCGACAAUGACAGCGACGUAGGUAUCCAUAUAUCCAUAGUAGGUACCUAUAUGUAUAAAAUAUAGUCUGGAAAACAGGAUUUAAGGGAUUUUCAGGACGAGUUGCGGUAUCCAUUGUAAGAAAAGAAGUGCGAAUAGUACAAAAUUAUUUUAUUAUAGUCUGACUCUCGUAUGCAGGAUGGGGGGCAUGUGGCAUGAAGUCGGAGGAAAGUUAUUAUACUCGUAGUUGCGUGCGGGAAAUACAUUGAUGCAGGUGGUGUGUGAUAUACUGACAUAGGUAGAAGUAGAAAGAAGUGUUGUGGGGGAAGGGGUUUUGAGUCCACCAGGUUCUUCCAAUACUCCCAUUACUGCCAAAUAAAAACUAAUGCUGUACUCACAAAUAUUUACCGCUUUAGGAUGUUUUGAAGUGUUGCCGCUUGGACAAUUUAUUUUUAUCCUACUUAAGAAGAUUAAAAAAAAAAAAAAAACAAUUAUCUCAAACUGUGUAUUAUAUUAUGCCUUUUCCCAUGUAGUAUACUUAUACAACAUUUUAUUCAAUUAUACCCUCUUAAUGUCACGAAAAACGUUAGUUCGAAAUUAUUUCGUCGAGUGGUGUGUGUGAGGCGUACACUAAGCUGCUCACGUACCUGCAGUUUAGCAUGACAUCAUUAUGGUCACCUUAGAAUGAGAUCAGUAGAUUUCCGUUCGUAGGUCGACCGAUGAGCCACAGAUAUAUUUAUAUUAUACUGGUUAUCGAUCAUUUGAUUUAUAUCGCGCUUGCACCAACAGUUCUUCUACAAUAAAUAUCAGUAUAAUAUUAUGAUGUAUAUUGUAUCAUACAGUGAUAAAAUAUUAUAGAUACGACAGCGUUGACUGUAUGUAAAAUGAUUUUUCCGGACAUCUCUUCAGUGGCAGUAUAGAUACUAGAUAGUCGGAUGUGCGUAGUGGUAUAUAUAUGUUCAAAUAUAUUAUAUUAUUAUUAUUAUUAUUAUUAUUUUCGUAAUUUUACCUUUUCGCGUUGGUCUGGCGUGUGUGCGGUUUUCAGCCGUCGCGAUCGGUCUGUCUCGGUUCUUUUCGGUCCGUCCGUCCACGGUACGUCCGUCCGUCAAAUAGUCGUGCGGUACUCGCUCGCCCAUCUACGCAUCGCCGAAACCGCUACCAGUCGGGCUCCUACACAACCUAUCGCGAGGGAGGAGCGGGUAGGCAGACGGAUAGAGUGAGAGAGAGUUGUCGUCGUCGUCGUCGUCGUCAUCGGUGGCGGCGGCCCGGGGACCUUUUAGUCUGUUUCGGAAACGCGCCGCAGACGGUCGUGUCUCCGUUGUCCGCUCGCCCGCUGCCGUCGUAUAGUUUGCCGUCGAUGUCCGUCCGCCGCCGACGACGACGCCGCCGCCGCCGGGACACGUGCGCGGUUUUCCACUGUAGUUUCGCUGCUCUGCGGCCAAGAAACCUUGAAACGACGGUGUUGCACACCAGUGAUAUCAUAAUCUCCCCUGUGCGACCAGCGGUAUCCACCCCGUAAAUACGCCGCCGCGAACCGUUUCCGCUCCUCCGUCCCCGGGGUCAUGGUGGCGAUGGCCAUGUAUUUCUACGCCAGUCGGUUGACCGCCACGGCGGCCAAGACACCGCCGCAGUCAGCCAACAGCAACAAUCAAACAAGCUCGUCGAGCAACAACUGCAGUAGCGCCGGCAAACGAUUACAAGUGCAGACCGCGAAGGCAGAAACAGCCGCUGGCCAACAACCGUCGGUUUCCAGUGAAAAGGUCAGUACCGGUGGUCACUGUCGUGUUAUAAAUUCAGGGUUUUGGUUUUUUUUUCAAGAAGCCUGAAAAACCCAAAAACCAUACUGUUUUUAUCAAGGUUCGGAGAGUAGAGCUAGUGAUUUUAUAAGGCUUUUGGCCGAUAAUUUAUGGUUUUCGAUAAAAAAAAAAAACAGUCGAUAAACGGUAAAAUGUUUUUAGAACGC